UCGUAACAAAGGUUCCGUAGGUGAACCUGCAGAAGGAUCAUUUGACCAUUUGUGGCCAUGUGAUUGUUGGUUUCCCGUUAAAGUGGGAAAAGGGUGGGGGCAAAUCUUGCUCGCUGUUUUCUUGGGGGCUGGUUGUUGAUUUUGGUGCGGUGACAAAGCACCUGACAAAGCAUCAGCAAUGAAUGUCUUGGCUCAGUUAAUGAUGAAGGGUGCAGCAAGAUGUGGUAGACAGUGUGAGAUGCAGAAUUCCGUGAACUAUUGAGAGCUGAACGCUUGGUACACCUUUGGGACACUCCCAAAGGUGUGGUUAAUUUGAUGCAGUUCUGUGCAUGUGUCUCGUGAUGCGUGUGUGUUGUUGUGGUGUGGCACAGUCAGUGGCCCAACUCGUUUUUGCGGUGUGGCGUUCAACUGCCAGUGCCACAAUGCAACACUCAAAUGUACAUGGCUGCUUGCGGUGUGAAAUUGAGCACACAUACCCGCUGAAUUUAAGCAUAU
This 495-nucleotide unclassified non-coding RNA is filed under the name Fukuyoa paulensis. Its description in RNAcentral is "sequence contains 18S rRNA gene, ITS1, 5.8S rRNA gene, ITS2 and 28S rRNA gene". The stretch from base 168 to 321 matches the Rfam family "5.8S ribosomal RNA". The record is from RNAcentral. Lineage: Eukaryota; Dinophyceae; Gonyaulacales; Pyrocystaceae.